Molecule: ribosomal RNA, 460 nt
Filed under: uncultured bacterium
Lineage: Bacteria
Description: partial 16S ribosomal RNA
Rfam family: Bacterial small subunit ribosomal RNA
Source: RNAcentral
CCUACGGGAGGCAGCAGUGAGGAAUAUUGGUCAAUGGCCGAGAGGCUGAACCAGCCAAGUCGCGUGAGGGAAGAAUGUCCUAUGGAUUGUAAACCUCUUUUGUCAGGGAGCAAAGUCACCCACGUGUGGGUGUUGGAGAGUACCUGAAGAAAAAGCAUCGGCUAACUCCGUGCCAGCAGCCGCGGUAAUACGUAGGUGGCAAGCGUUAUCCGGAUUUAUUGGGUGUAAAGGGCGUGUAGGCGGGAAAGCAAGUCAGAUGUGAAAACUCAGGGCUCAACCCUGAGCCUGCAUUUGAAACUGUUUUUCUUGAGUGCUGGAGAGGCAAUCGGAAUUCCGGGUGUAGCGGUGAAAUGCGUAGAUAUACGGAGGAACACCAGUGGCGAAGGCGGAUUGCUGGACAGUAACUGACGCUGAGGCGCGAAAGCGUGGGGAGCAAACAGGAUUAGAUACCCGAGUAGUC